CGGAUGAACGCUAGCGGCAGGCUUAACACAUGCAAGUCGAGGGGUAUAGGUUUUCGGAUCUAGAGACCGGCGCACGGGUGCGUAACGCGUAUGCAACAUACCUUGUGCAGGGGGAUAGCCCGUGGAAACGCGGAUUAAUAUUCCAUAGUCCAGCUAUAUCGCAUGGUAUAGUUGGUAAAGAUUUAUCGGCACAAGUUUGGCAUGCGUCUGAUUAGCUUGUUGGUAGGGUAACGGCCUACCAAGGCUACGAUCAGUAGGGGUUCUGAGAGGAUUAACCCCCACACUGGUACUGAGACACGGACCAGACUCCUACGGGAGGCAGCAGUGAGGAAUAUUGGUCAAUGGGCGGAAGCCUGAACCAGCCAUCCCGCGUGAAGGAAGACAGCCUUACGGGUUGUAAACUUCUUUUCUGUCAGAAGAAUAAGCUUGUCGAGACGAGUGAUGCCGGUAUGACAGGAAUAAGCAUCGGCUAACUCCGUG
Molecule: ribosomal RNA, 480 nt
Filed under: uncultured bacterium
Lineage: Bacteria
Description: bacterial SSU rRNA
Rfam family: Bacterial small subunit ribosomal RNA
Source: RNAcentral